UACGGAGGGUGCGAGCGUUGUCCGGAAUCACUGGGCGUAAAGGGCGCGUAGGCGGCCUGAUAAGUAGGGGGUGAAAUCCUGCGGCUUAACCGCAGGGCUGCCUUCUAAACUGUCAGGCUGGAGCACAGUAGAGGCAGGUGGAAUUCCCGGUGUAGCGGUGGAAUGCGUAGAGACCGGGAAGAACAUCAGUGGCGAAGGCGGCCUGCUGGGCUGUUGCUGACGCUGAGGCGCGACAGCGUGGGGAGCAAACAGG
This 253-nucleotide ribosomal RNA is filed under the name uncultured bacterium. RNAcentral's name for it is "partial 16S ribosomal RNA". It matches the Rfam family "Bacterial small subunit ribosomal RNA", at positions 524 to 776 of the family's 1533-position model. The record is from RNAcentral.